This is a long non-coding RNA of Juglans microcarpa x Juglans regia, 901 nucleotides long. RefSeq lists it as uncharacterized. The record is from RefSeq and is a predicted model, not a curated record. NCBI's taxonomy places the organism in Eukaryota, Viridiplantae, Streptophyta, Magnoliopsida, Fagales, Juglandaceae. The transcript has 2 exons.
UUGCUGUGUGAUGUUAAAGUUUUUUUACUUAGAAACAUUGAAGGGUAUCUUCUUUUCUCCAUUUUCCCCUUCACCACCUUAUUUGAUUUGCAAAAGCCAAAGUGGGUAGCUGCACUUACCAAUUUAUAGCGAAUUGCUGCAUAUCACAUUUCCCUCAUAUUUGCACAUUUGAUCAUUUCCUGGUCACUUGUAACAAAAAAGGAAUUCAUUUCUUGAUCAAGGAAUUGCUUCUCAUUUGACUCAAGAGAGCUUGAUAAAAGGUUGUGCCACAGUUCACGUUGUUAGUGAUAUGAGCACACAUUUGAGCACCCAGAUGAUCAUAAGUGGGUGUGGGUGCGCUCGUGUAAUUGUUCAUAUUUUUCAUGAUUUCUCAGCUCUGGCAGCAUCCUAGCCUUGGUCAGAAGAGCUGAGAUUAUAAAGCAUCUUGGCUUUGGAUACGUUAAGUGAAGACCCGUAAUUGACUGAAAUGUUAACUCUCGCAGCAGGAAUCUGGUUUUUCAUGUGGCAACUACUACAUAAUUACACCAGCAUGCGAUUAUGAAGGAUAAAACUUAAAGAUGAAAAAUAGCAUUACUAAAGGAAGAGGAGGUCCAUCACUCUGUUAGUUAGCUUGAGGGGGAAGAUGGCAUUGAGAUUAUCAAUUUAAUCCUGCCCUUUAAGCAAGUCUCUAGCAUCAGCACUGGACUUGUUAGAAGGGUAGAAUCAAAACCCAAGUUGGAACAAGAUGCUGUGAAAAUUGAAGUCGACUGAGAUUCAAAAAGCUUUGACGCUUUUCCAAAAAUGCAAAUCAGUACAAGCUAUAUAUAAUUUCAGAUCCUCCAUUAACCUGUUUCAGUAAAGUGGGCUUUGAAUAAUAAAAGUAGUUGAAUGUAAUUUAUUCAACUGGAUUGAUUUGGAAGGA